UACAGAGGGGGCAAGCGUUAUUCGGAAUUAUUGGGCGUAAAGGGCGCGUAGGCGGUCAGCACAAGUCAGUUGUGAAAUCUCCGGGCUUAACUCGGAAAGGUCAACUGAUACUGUGCGACUAGAGUGCGGAAGGGGCAACUGGAAUUCUCGGUGUAGCGGUGAAAUGCGUAGAUAUCGAGAGGAACACCUGCGGCGAAGGCGGGUUGCUGGGCUGACACUGACGCUGAGGCGCGAAAGCUAGGGGAGCGAACGGG
This 254-nucleotide ribosomal RNA is filed under the name uncultured bacterium. RNAcentral describes it as "partial 16S ribosomal RNA". It matches the Rfam family "Bacterial small subunit ribosomal RNA", at positions 524 to 776 of the family's 1533-position model. The record is from RNAcentral.